Molecule: long non-coding RNA, 2990 nt
Filed under: Homo sapiens (human)
Lineage: Eukaryota; Metazoa; Chordata; Mammalia; Primates; Hominidae
Description: YPEL3 divergent transcript (YPEL3-DT)
Source: RNAcentral
GCUUGUGGCCCGCGCAGGGGCGGGGUCGGAAGGUCUAGGCCGGGCGCGGAGCGAGGAAGCGGGUGGCGCUGGGACGCAUGCUCUGGGGGAGAUGAGUAUAAUGACCCGCGUUUGUCCGCCGCCCGUGCCCCGCUCAAUCCCCGCAUCAAUCCCGUGAGGCCGUUUCUCCCGUUGGCUCCACUGUACCGGGGGCUGAGGCCCAGGGAGGUCUCGCGGCUCCCUAGGUUAUCCAGCUAGUAAGAGGCGAAGCUGGAAUUCUCACUGUGGGCCCAUUCCAUGGCUUUUGCCAGAGCGCCAGGGACACACUCAGUUCACCUUCUAGCAGGGAAGACCCAAAGAUGCGCGCCCCUGGCAGCCAGGGCGUCGGACCAGGCAAUUCCUACUGUCCAGCAUCACCUCCUCCAGGCCUCUCGGAUGCCUCUGUUGGGACAGCUAAGUUCCUCUUCAAAGACUCAAUUUCCUGGUCAUAAGCUGUAAACAGAUUCUACUCCCGCUUUUUCUUCUUUGUCGCACGUCUACCCUAUUUGGGAAAGUUUAAACCUUAGCCAAUCGGGAUCAGCUCAGAUUGUGCGGUCCAACCCCCCAGCCAAUGGGGAAAGGACACAGAAACAGGAACUGCGUUAGGGUUAAAAACCACUUCCCUCCUUUGUUGGCGGGUGCUCUUGGGAUUGCAACCAGCGCAAGCAGCACCCUUCUGCAGAAGUAAAGAUGCCUUGCUGGGAAGUCUUCUGUCUCAGUGCUGGUUUUUCUUGACUACACUGAGCACUUGUUUUCAACAAAUUUGAGGGUCUUCUGGGAUCCCAUUCUCCUUUGGGAGGGGUAGCGAUUACUUUUCCUCGUGAGACACGUCCCACUGCCUUGUUGCAGUGGCCCAAGGAGCGGAGGAUCGGGUCCACCCAAAGUGAGGAAUAAAUCCGGACUUUCAGCAACGUGGGCAGGAAGGAGCCUUAAAAUUCCCAGGCAAGUGGGUAACUCUGUGCACAGACCAAGCCGCCGACGGGACCAUCACAAAAGCUUUACAAGGCCUUACCACCCUGGCAAAUGAAUUAGCCGAAAAUUCUGGACUAGAUAACCCUUUUAUGGGUCUCAUGGAAAAGUGGUUUGGAAAAUGGAAAGGACUCCUGGCUUCAAUCUUUACCUCUCUUGCAAUUGUAACAAGUGUACUUAUCCUUGUGGGCUGCCGCAUCAUACCUUGUAUUCGUGGGUUAACUCAAAGGCUCAUAGAAACAGCCCUCACUAAAGCCUUCCUCUCUUCUCUCCCUCCAUACUUGGACAAGCUCUUGCUCCUGGAUAAUCAAGAAGAACAACGAAGCCAAAUCCUGUUAAAAUUUUUUGCAGAGGAAGAAGUAUCAAAUAGAAGAGAGGAAAUUGUUGGGACAGCUAAGCUCUUCAAAGACUCAACUUCCUGGUCAUAAACUUCUCCCCGUUUUUCUUCUUUUUCGCCAGUCUACCCUGUUUGGGAAAGUUUAAACCUUAGCCAGUCGGGAUCAGCUCAGAUUGUGCAGUCCAUCCCCAGUCAAUGGGGAAAGGACACAGAAACAGGAACUGCGUUAGGGUUAAAAAGCCCUUCUCUCCUUUGUUUGGGGUGCUCUUGCGAUUACAAGCUGCGCAAGUAGCACCGUUCUGAAGUAAAGAUGCCUUGCUGGGAAAUCUGUCUCAGUGCUGGUUUUUCUUGACUACACUGAGCACUUGUUUCCAACACCCCUGUGCUCCAGGCUGGGUUAGGUCUGAUCUCAGGGAAUGUCUGUUUCAACACGUGUCUGCAGUUCUUUGGCUUGUGUUGCUCACUGCAGUGGGCCCAGCCUGGUCUAGAGGAGGCGCUCAGGAAGUAUCUGUGAAAUGUGAAUGUGUAGUUCCUUCAGUGAAUAUGGCCCUGGGGCUGAAGAUGGCAGAAGCAUUCUGGGAGCUUCUGGAGAAGGAGACCUGGGAGGAGAAGGUUGGAAUGGCGGGGGCAGCAGAGGGGCUGGGUGAACUCAGCUGUCCCACCCAGGCCCAUCCUCUGCAGCCCGAGAAGGAAGCUCACAGGGCAAGACAUGGAAGAGAUCAAGUUCCCUGCCCGGUGCCUGGGCUGUUGAUGGCCUCAGGAAAAUGGAACCAUUACCUGUUGCUGUCAAGUGGCUGGGGGCCAGGAUGCCUGGGUUGGCCGUGAGAGGACAUUGCUGAGGAGAGUGGAGGCCAGGCUGGGGUGGGGUGUGGCAGGAGGACAGGAAUGCAGUGGAACCAGUGGGUCAGGCUCCUGAGGGCCCCAGGCUCCAGCCUCAGGGCUGGCCUGUUCCCUCCUAAGCUGCCAUCUUCAUAUCUUCAGGACCCACCCCUCUACUCCUCACCCUCAGCACAACGAUGUGAUCGAAAGGCAAAUAUUUAUUUUUCAGGAAGAGAAACAGGAGACCUCGAGGCUUCUGGACUUAGGAGGUCCGGGCAGCUGGUCCAUGGUUGUCCAGGUAGUGCCGCAGGGCUGUGGGAUAAUCCGUUAUGACGCCAGUGGCUCCCACGCUGAAGGCUGCUUCAAAAUCCGACUCUUCAUUAAGGCACCAAAAGACCACCUGAGCAGGGAGGGAGGGGGCCUGUAGAUUCUGAACAAUUUUACAUCUGGAGAGUGGGGACCCACCUCCUCCUCUAUGGAGACUCCCCAGCAGCAGUAGGCUGGAGCUGAUUGUUAAAUUCUCAGGAAUUUUGCAAAGUGGUUAUUAAACCCAGCCAUUAUUAAAAAUUAAAUCAUAGCCUGGGUGCAGUGGCUCACGCCUGUAAUAUCAACACUUUGGGACGCCGAGGCAGGAGUUGAGGCCAGGUGUUUAAGAUCGAGUGAGACCUCAUCUCUACAAAAAACUUUGUAAAAAUUAAUUAGCCCGGUGUGGUGGUAUGCGCCUGUGCUCCCAGCUACUUGGAAGACUGAGGUGAAAGAAUUGCUUGAGCCCAGGACUCUAAGGCUGCAGUGAGCUAUGGUUGCACCACUGUACUCCAGCCUGGGCGAUACAACAAGACCUCGUCUC